This 699-nucleotide ribosomal RNA is filed under the name uncultured bacterium. Its description in RNAcentral is "bacterial SSU rRNA". It matches the Rfam family "Bacterial small subunit ribosomal RNA", at positions 8 to 698 of the family's 1533-position model. The record is from RNAcentral.
AGAGUUUGAUCCUGGCUCAGAUUGAACGCUGGCGGCAUGCCUAACACAUGCAAGUCGAACGGUAACGAUGGAAGCUUGCUUCCAGGCGACGAGUGGCGGACGGGUGAGUAAUGCUUGGGAAUUUGCCUAGUAGUGGGGGACAACACGGGGAAACUCGUGCUAAUACCGCAUACGCCCUACGGGGGAAAGCGGGGGAUCUUCGGACCUCGCGCUAUUAGAUGAGCCCAAGUCGGAUUAGCUUGUUGGUGAGGUAAUGGCUCACCAAGGCCACGAUCCGUAGCUGGUCUGAGAGGACGAUCAGCCACACUGGGACUGAGACACGGCCCAGACUCCUACGGGAGGCAGCAGUGGGGAAUAUUGCACAAUGGGCGCAAGCCUGAUGCAGCAAUGCCGCGUGUGUGAAGAAGGCCUGCGGGUUGUAAAGCACUUUCAGUAGGGAAGAAAAGCUCAAGGUUAAUAACCAUGAGUCUUGACAUUAACUACAGAAGAAGCACCGGCUAACUCCGUGCCAGCAGCCGCGGUAAUACGGAGGGUGCGAGCGUUAAUCGGAAUUACUGGGCGUAAAGCGCGCGUAGGCGGCUAGGUCAGUCGGAUGUGAAAGCCCUGGGCUUAACCUGGGAACUGCAUUCGAUACUGCCUAGCUAGAGUAUGGUAGAGGGAAGCGGAAUUCCGGGUGUAGCGGUGAAAUGCGUAGAUAUC